UAGUAACGGCGAGUGAAGCGGGAAGAGCUCAAGCUUAAAAUCUCCGUGCAAGUUUUGUGCGGCGAAUUGUAGUCUAUAGAAGCGUGGUCAGCAUGGGCACUUGGGGCAAGUUCCUUGGAAGAGGACAGCAUGGAGGGUGAUACUCCCGUUCAUUUCUGAGUUGCUCGUGCGUACGACCCGUUUUCUUUGAGUCGCGUUGUUUGGGAAUGCAGCGCAAAGUAGGUGGUAAAUUCCAUCUAAAGCUAAAUAUUGGUGCGAGACCGAUAGCGAACAAGUACCGUGAGGGAAAGAUGAAAAGAACUUUGAAAAGAGAGUUAAAGAGUACCUGAAACUGCUGAAAGGGAACCGAAUCGUUUCCAGUGUCUAUAAUCCGUGGUAUAUUUCAUUGGCGAGUGUGUGCGUGCGUGUGCUGUGGCAGCGGCUUUUUUGGCUGCGCUCGGCGUGUGUGCUGUGUGUGCUUGCUGGUGCUCUGUGCUGCGGUGGGACGUCAAGGUCAGUUCGUAUGCUGCGGGAAAUGGCUGCCGAGGAGGUAGGGCUUACGCUUGCGUUUGUCUGUUAUAUCUUGGUGGACGAGUAGUCGCGGUUGGGACUGAGGUGCCUACAACGUGCUUUUGAGUGGGUUUGUGUCUCCGUGUGCGCCGUGUGCGGAUAGCUUGCUAUGCGUGUGUGGUUGUGUGUGGAUUGAUGCGAGCUUUAACUUGUUGCCGUUCGGGACGUUGACGAAAUGGAGCGAUUCGACCCGUCUUGAAACACGGACCAAGGAGUCUAACAUGUGUGCAAGUGUUAGGGUGUGGAAACCCCAGCGCGAAAUGAAAGUGAAGGGCAGCGUAAGUUGUCUGAGGUAGGAAAUGCUGCGGGCUUCGGUCUGCGGUGUGGCACUAUCGACCGAUCAUGAACCUUCGUGGUGAAAGAUUUGAGUUUGAGCACAUAUGUUGGUACCCGAAAGAUGGUGAACUAUGCCUGAGUAGGGUGAAGCCAGGGGAAACUCUGGUGGAAGCUCGUAGCGAUUCUGACGUGCAAAUCGAUCGUCAAACUUGGGUAUA
Molecule: ribosomal RNA, 1043 nt
Rfam family: Eukaryotic large subunit ribosomal RNA